GACGUACGCUGGCGGCGUGCCUAAUACAUGCAAGUAGAACGCUGAAGGAGGAGCUUGCUCUUCUGGAUGAGUUGCGAACGGGUGAGUAACGCGUAGGUAACCUGCCUGGUAGCGGGGGAUAACUAUUGGAAACGAUAGCUAAUACCGCAUAAGAGUAGAUGUUGCAUGACAUUUGCUUAAAAGGUGCAAUUGCAUCACUACCAGAUGGACCUGCGUUGUAUUAGCUAGUUGGUGGGGUAACGGCUCACCAAGGCGACGAUACCUAGCCGACCUGAGAGGGUGAUCGGCCACACUGGGACUGAGACACGGCCCAGACUCCUACGGGAGGCAGCAGUAGGGAAUCUUCGGCAAUGGACGGAAGUCUGACCGAGCAACGCCGCGUGAGUGAAGAAGGUUGUCGGAUCGUAAAGCUCUGUUGUAAGAGAAGAACGAGUGUGAGAGUGGAAAGUUCACACUGUGACGGUAUCUUACCAGAAAGGGACGGCUAACUACGUG
Molecule: ribosomal RNA, 495 nt
Filed under: uncultured bacterium
Lineage: Bacteria
Description: partial 16S ribosomal RNA
Rfam family: Bacterial small subunit ribosomal RNA
Source: RNAcentral